CCCUUAGAUGUCCGGGGCCGCACGCGUGCUACACUGAGUGGAUCAGCGGGUCAGGUUGCGCGAAAGCGUUUCCUAAUCUUUAAAUCCGCUCGUGAUGGGGAUUGACGGUUGCAAUUUUCUGUCAUGAACGAGGAAUACCUUGUAAGCGCGGGUCAUCAUCCCGCGCUGAAUACGUCCCUGCCCUUUGUACACACCGCCCGUCGCUCCUACCGAUUGAGUGGUCCGGUGAGGCUUUGGGAUCUGAGCGGAAAGAGCGUUUCGCUGUUUCUGCUCGGAAAACUCAGUCGAACCUUAUCAUUUAGAGGAAGGAGAAGUCGUAACA
Molecule: ribosomal RNA, 322 nt
Filed under: uncultured eukaryote
Lineage: Eukaryota
Description: partial 18S ribosomal RNA
Rfam family: Eukaryotic small subunit ribosomal RNA
Source: RNAcentral